Tuber brumale (winter truffle) is the source of this 73-nucleotide non-coding RNA. The record is from the annotation of a GenBank genome assembly. NCBI's taxonomy places the organism in Eukaryota, Fungi, Ascomycota, Pezizomycetes, Pezizales, Tuberaceae.
GCCUCGCUAGCUCAAUCAGUAGAGUGUGAGACUCUUAAUCUCAAGGUUGCUGGUUCGACUCUCGCGUGGGGCU